AUGGAGGACUUCGCGCGCGCGGUGGAGGACGGGCUCAAGCUGUCGAAGCGGCUCGUGCUGCCGGGCGGGCUGCCCCCGCCGCGGCCGCCCGCGGGGAUGGAGCGCGGGCCCGACGCGGCCGCCGCGCUGCUGCUCCCCGCCGCGCCGAUGGCCUACGCGGUCGUCUCCGACCCCGGCGCCGUCGACACCCCCGACGUGCCCAGCUACCAGCCCUACGUCUACGGCCGCCUCGACCCGCCCGCGCUCAUCCCGCUGCAGAUGAAGGAGAUCGACCUGGCCGUCGACUGCGCGCUCGACACGGCCUCCGUCACCCUGCGCGCGCGCUGGUGGCUGCACUGCAUCACGCGCAGCCGCGAGUGCGACGUCAGGCUCAUCGUGCCCAUGGGAGAACAGGGUUCAAUUCUAGGCGCUGAGGUCACUGUCGGAAGAAUGUCAUACAAUACUCAAGUGACCGAAGUAGAAGACCAAACCAUGGAGAAUACCAUGAAAGGCAUUUUGAAACCCCAUAUGUUUUGCUUGACAAUACCACAGGUGGAAGGUGGAGCGGAUAUUGUAGCCACAGUUAGAUGGUCUCAGAAGUUACACUAUGAUAAUGGACGAUUCACGGUCGACAUACCUUUCCGUUUUCCAUACUAUGUCAACCCAUUACCAAAAGUAUUCAUGAAGAGGGAGAAAAUUCAGUUGACAGUGAAUAGUGGAUUCAGUAAAGAGGUUUUGUUGCAGGGCACAAGCCAUUCAUUGAAGGAAAAGGCAAGGCAGGGUGAUAAAUUGUCUUUCCUGCAUGAAGCAGUUGUUGAGAAUUGGUCAAGCAAAGAUUUCACAUUUUCCUACAGUGUUUACUCUGGUGACUUGUCAGGUGGUAUCCAUGUGCAGCCUUCAACAUCUCAGGAUUAUGACGAUAGAGAUACAUUCAGCAUUUUCAUUUUACCUGGAAGUGGGAAUAGAAAGGUCUUCAAGAAAGCAGUCGUAUUUGUUGUUGAUACAAGUGGAAGCAUGAAAGGAAAACCUCUUGAGAAUGUGAAGAAUGCAGUGUCUACAGCUCUUUCCGAACUUGUGCAAGGAGAUUACUUCAACAUUAUAACAUUUAAUGAGGAGCUCCAUUCAUUCUCAUCAUGUUUAGAGAAAGUAAAUGAAAAAGCAAUAGCAAGUGCGAAUGAUUGGAUGAACGCCAACUUUGUUGCUGAGGGUGGCACAGAUAUUAUGCAUCCUUUAAAUGAGGCGAUGGCAUUAUUGUCAAGUGCCCAUGAUGCGCUCCCACAAAUUUUUCUUAUGACUGAUGGAUCGGUUGAUGAUGAGCAUGACAUCUGUCAAACUGUGAAAAAUGAGCUGCUCAGCAGAGGAUCUAAAUCUCCCCGAAUUUCUACGUUCGGACUAGGUUUAUAUUGCAACCAUUAUUUCUUGCGCAUGGUGGCAUCAAUUGGCAAGGGGCAUUUUGAUGCUGCACUCGAGACAGGAUCAAUUGAGAGUCGAAUAGUUAAGUGGUUCAGGAAAGCAUCAAAUACAAUAGUGGCAAACAUCUCCAUUGAUGCUACGAAACAUCUCGAUGAUUUUGAAGUGGAUUCUGAAUAUAUUCCAGACAUUUCAGCACAGUGUCCUUUAUGUAUAUCUGGAAAAUACCAAGGCAAGUUCCCUGAGACAGUUGUGGCAACGGGUUACUUGGCUGACAUGAUAGAGAUCUCGAUUGAGCUGAAGGUCCAGCAUAUAACGGACAUGCCUCUUGAUAACAUUUUCGCAGCACAGCAGAUUGCUCUUCUCACAGCAAAGGCAUGGCUUUCUGCAGACAAACAACUGGAGAGAAAGGUGAUAAAAUUAAGCAUAGAGAAUAGUGUUCUUUCAGAGUACACAAGCAUGGUUGUACUUCAAACCAAUUUGGAUGCAGCACAAAAAGUCAAGCAGAAACCGAAAGGACGCAAAGGCGCCAACGAGCCAUUACGAUUCCAGCUUCAUGGUCUAAAACUUGGAUUCGGUGACAAAGCAGCCACCAGGGAAAACCUCCUCACAUGUUUCGGUGACGAGAAACCACUGGAGACGUUGAAGAUAUUCAAGAAGGCGGGCGGGUGCUGCAGCCGCGUCGCAGACUGCCUCUGCUGCAUGUGCUGCAUCAAGGCGUGCAACAAGAUGAACGACCAGUGCGCCAUCUUGAUGGCGCAGGUGUGCGCCGCGCUCUCGUGCCUUGGCUGCUACGAGUGCUGCGCGGAGGUGUGCUGUGGAGGGUCCGAGUCGUAG
This 2226-nucleotide ribosomal RNA is filed under the name Triticum aestivum (bread wheat). Its description in RNAcentral is "partial small subunit ribosomal RNA". Lineage: Eukaryota; Viridiplantae; Streptophyta; Magnoliopsida; Poales; Poaceae. The record is from RNAcentral.